GAAUUGAUCAGUUAUUAUUCUGAUUUGGAAAUGCUUUUCUAUGUAUAACAACAAUAACAAUAAAAGUUCGAAGCAAUUCUGACGUGCAAAUCGAUCGUCUGAUUUUGAUAUAAGGACGAAAGACUAAUCGGACAAUCCACUAGUUCCUUCCCUCAGAAAUUUCGCUCAGAAUAGUUGGAGUACGUAAUGAAGCUGUUAUAUUCGGUAAAGCGAAUGAUUGGAGGAAU
Molecule: non-coding RNA, 227 nt
Filed under: Onchocerca ochengi
Lineage: Eukaryota; Metazoa; Nematoda; Chromadorea; Rhabditida; Onchocercidae
Description: Eukaryotic large subunit ribosomal RNA
Rfam family: Eukaryotic large subunit ribosomal RNA
Source: Rfam by way of RNAcentral